AUUUACUCCUUUCCCUUCUCUUCCAAUUUUGACGCGCGGUCGCCGCUGGGAGAGAGUAAGUGGGCGAAAGGCAGCGAUGCCAGGUGGAGCGAGCGCUGCCAUCUUCCUCUCGAUCUUAUUUCCACCGACGAGGUGCAGGAGGGCCAAGAACCGAUGCGAGCGGGUGGAUCCUUCGGUCCUUCCUCAAGCAGUCAGGCAUCCCUUCAUCGGUGCUUGGGCUCAUCUCUGGAGUGGUGGCGACAAGAAUAGCAUGGGCUCAUAUCUUGGGGGUGGCGCGUCGGCGUCACGCAGACCCGGCAACGGCGCGAGCAGUACUAGACUUGAGCUACCUGAGCUCGUAUCUGGAGUUGCCGCAGGGGUGGAGGUGCUGGUCGAGUAGAGAUCCAAUGGCUGGCCUCCUUUACUUACACCAUGGCCAACUUGUGGAGGUCCACGAGCUGCGAAGCAUCCUUCAUCGACCCGUUCCCCAGAACCACUGUUCAGUUUCAGUAAGAGAGCAUACAGUUCAAGUGAUUAGCAUGACAGAAGCUGGUUCACUAGAUUGGGGAUAUUAAGAGGAAGUUAAGUAUUUUUUUUUCAUAAUUCCAAAUUAGCAACUAUGUGCGUUAUUGUUUGAUUAGUCCGUCAUUGUCCCUAAAUUGUUUAGACUCAUGGCUUUGUGCUAUUCUGUUUUGGUCAGUCAUUAUCACUGCAUUGUUUAGCAAAUUAGGCAAUAGGCUAGGCUGAUAUAUGUGCACACUAGCACCAGACUGGUUGACAAAGUUCUAGCUAUAUGUGAACUUACAUCUCCUUUGUCUAAUUUCUGCGUAAAUAUACUCGUCAAUAGGCUAGGCUGCUAUCGGCCUGUGUCUUGUAUGUCUGUAUUUUUGGAUCCCAUGAACUGCAUCUCUAUGCUUACUGUUUCCGAUGGUCAGUGGAGUUUGUUACAUCUAUUUAUUUUAAUGGUAGUUACUCUUAUGUAAUAUUUUGUUUAUUGGAUGCAAAUACCGAUGGGAUGUUCAUGGUUGCUUAGUAGCUCAUGUUGGCUUUUUAGGUGCUCUCUUUAUGUGGUCAUCUAGCUCGCCUGGGCAAAAGUGAAACUCAUGCUUUGUACGGUUACAUGCAAGAAUUCAAUAUUAGAUAAGCACGUGUAAAUCAUUGCUAAAUUGGUCAUUAUGCAGUCUAGUUGCUGCCUUGUCAUCUUAAUUUCCCAAAUUGAAUGGCUAGUUACCUGAUUACCUGCAGUUCCUUUUUUUUGCACUGUAGUUCCAUUUGCAGCCAUUCUUCAGUCAAACUUGAAAUUCUUAGUCAACAAUGAAAUAAUCUCACAUUUGCAUUCUUUCCUGAAACUUGUAACUGAGAACUGGAGUCACCCUAGUGCUGGUUGAAUAUUAAUAAAGCUGUGACCUGAAACUAUAGCUCUAUUGGUAGUUACUUCUGAAACUUUUAGUAGUUCACUUCUAAAUUUGUUCUUACUACAACAAUGCAGGAACAAGAGCCUGUGGGUGUUGGACAUUCAGACAUGUUCCCAGAUCUCAUAUCUUUCUAUGUUGGAACUUGUAUGAGAAAUGAUGGAAGAUUGCUGCAAAUGUCAUCAUAUAUAGGUAGUGGUAUUGGAAGAGAUUUAGUAAUUGGGUGCAGGUGUUUACUCCUUGCUGCUAUGAGAGUUUGUACGAGUAUAUAAUAUAUUGUAUAUUACCAUGUCAAAUGUGAUGGGAUAUAUAAAUUAUGUAUUUGAAUUCAUUAAUCUGGGCAAUGGUGAUUUGAAUUUGGUUCUU
This is a long non-coding RNA of Sorghum bicolor (sorghum), 1757 nucleotides long. RefSeq lists it as uncharacterized. The transcript has 2 exons. NCBI's taxonomy places the organism in Eukaryota, Viridiplantae, Streptophyta, Magnoliopsida, Poales, Poaceae. The record is from RefSeq and is a predicted model, not a curated record.